RNAcentral lists this ribosomal RNA (469 nucleotides) under Bifidobacterium longum subsp. longum. RNAcentral describes it as "bacterial SSU rRNA". It matches the Rfam family "Bacterial small subunit ribosomal RNA", at positions 34 to 520 of the family's 1533-position model. The record is from RNAcentral. Lineage: Bacteria; Bacillati; Actinomycetota; Actinomycetes; Bifidobacteriales; Bifidobacteriaceae.
CGCUGGCGGCGUGCUUAACACAUGCAAGUCGAACGGGAUCCAUCAAGCUUGCUUGGUGGUGANAGUGGCGAACGGGUGAGUAAUGCGUGACCGACCUGCCCCAUACACCGGAAUAGCUCCUGGAAACGGGUGGUAAUGCCGGAUGUUCCAGUUGAUCGCAUGGUCUUCUGGGAAAGCUUUCGCGGUAUGGGAUGGGGUCGCGUCCUAUCAGCUUGACGGCGGGGUAACGGCCCACCGUGGCUUCGACGGGUAGCCGGCCUGAGAGGGCGACCGGCCACAUUGGGACUGAGAUACGGCCCAGACUCCUACGGGAGGCAGCAGUGGGGAAUAUUGCACAAUGGGCGCAAGCCUGAUGCAGCGACGCCGCGUGAGGGAUGGAGGCCUUUCGGGUUGUAAACCUCUUUUAUCGGGGAGCAAGUGAGUGUACCUUUCGAAUAAGCACCGGCUAACUACGUGCCAGCAGCCGCGG